AGGUCUGAGGGCCAUCCGGCCGCGACAUCUGUUACCCCAUUGAUCGCCAGCGUUGAUUCGGCUGAUCUGACUGGCUAGGAGGAUGUCCCCUUCCUCCCUCACCGCUCCAUGUGCAUCCCCUCCUGAAGCUGCGUGCUUGGUGGAAGAGCACCACCUUCCCUGAAUAGGGAGGACCAUCUUGGACCAAGGGUAUACAAACGAGUAGCUGUGCCCCCCUGCUAGAACCUCCAAACAAGCUCUCAAGAACAGAGACACCCAAGCCAGGUGAUGGUGGCACACGCCUUUAUUCCCAGCACUCAGGAGGCAGAAGCAAGUGGAUCUCUGUGAG
Molecule: unclassified non-coding RNA, 328 nt
Organism: Mesocricetus auratus (golden hamster)
Lineage: Eukaryota; Metazoa; Chordata; Mammalia; Rodentia; Cricetidae
Gene: 7SK
Rfam family: 7SK RNA
About the family: 7SK was discovered as an abundant small nuclear RNA in the mid-70s but a possible function has only recently been suggested. Two independent studies have found that 7SK RNA binds the CDK9/cyclin T complex (known as elongation factor P-TEFb).
Source: Ensembl